RNAcentral lists this ribosomal RNA (253 nucleotides) under uncultured bacterium. RNAcentral describes it as "partial 16S ribosomal RNA". It matches the Rfam family "Bacterial small subunit ribosomal RNA", at positions 524 to 776 of the family's 1533-position model. The record is from RNAcentral.
UACGUAGGGUGCAAGCGUUGUCCGGAAUUAUUGGGCGUAAAGAGCUCGUAGGCGGUCUGUCGCGUCGGCUGUGAAAACCCGAGGCUCAACCUCGGGUCUGCAGUCGAUACGGGCAAACUAGAGUAUUGCAGGGGAGACUGGAAUUCCUGGUGUAGCGGUGAAAUGCGCAGAUAUCAGGAGGAACACCGGUGGCGAAGGCGGGUCUCUGGGCAAUAACUGACGCUGAGGAGCGAAAGCGUGGGGAGCGAACAGG